Molecule: long non-coding RNA, 294 nt
Organism: Aedes aegypti (yellow fever mosquito)
Lineage: Eukaryota; Metazoa; Arthropoda; Insecta; Diptera; Culicidae
Exons: 2
Source: RefSeq, a predicted model, not a curated record
CAUGAUUCGACGUAUCCCUGCUAUCACACUUUGAGGGAGCUUACACACUUGUGAUGGUCCAACUUAGAGAGAAAUCGACAGUAUUUGCCACCGGCAACGAAAGGGCGCUGCUUGAAGUUGCACAAUUUCCCGGCCAAGACAUGCAGCAUCCAUAGUCCGGAGGAUAGGCGCGGCGAGUCAUCGAAAACAUCUCACUUAAUUUGGAUUCGAAUCCCACCAAUCAUACAAAAAAAAAAAAAGACAAGCAAAUAAGUUCGUAAACAACACUGAGCUGACAUCCAACGAACAAAAAAA